Molecule: ribosomal RNA, 265 nt
Filed under: uncultured bacterium
Lineage: Bacteria
Description: partial 16S ribosomal RNA
Rfam family: Bacterial small subunit ribosomal RNA
Source: RNAcentral
UGGCGAACGGGGUGAGUAACACGUGGGCAACCUGCCCAAAAGAGGGGGAUAACACUUGGAAACAGGUGCUAAUACGCAUAACCAUAGUUACCGCAUGGUAGCUAUGUAAAAGGUGGCUAUGCUACCGCUUUUUGGAUGGGCCCGCGGCGCAUUAGCUAGUUGGUGGGGUAAAGGCUUACCAAGGCAAUGAUGCGUAGCCGAACUGAGAGGUUGAUCGGCCACAUUGGGACUGAGACACGGCCCAAACUCCUACGGGAGGCAGCAG